CAAAUUUUAAAUCACCUAGGUUACCUGGGCGAGUUGUAAUUUGAAGAAAGUGYUUUGAUGCUCUGGUUUUGUCUAAAUCCUUUGGGAUAAGGUAUCAUAGAGGGUGAGAAUCCCGUUCAUGAUUUAAACCCUGGGUGUCACCUAAUUCACUUUCUAAGAGUCGAGUUGUUUGGGAUUGCAGCUCAAAAUGGGUGGUAAAUUUCACCUAAGGCUAAAUAUGUGCAAGAGACCGAUAGCGAACAAGUACCGUGAGGGAAAGAUGAAAAGAACUUUGAAAAGAGAGUUAAAUAGUACGUGAAAUUGUUGAAAGGGAAACGAUUGAAGUCAGUCAUGCUUGCAGGGAAUCAGCAUGGUGGUUUAUUCUUCCUUGUGCACUUUCUUGCUUGGCAGGUUAGCAUCAAUUUCGAUUGUCAUUAAAGAAUUGGGGGAAUGUGGCUUCUUCGGGAGUGUUAUAGACCCUGGUAGAUGUGGCGAUCGGGAUUGAGGAUUGCAGCGAAUGCUUUUUGGCUAGUCACCUGGCUUCUGAUAGUCGCCUUGCUUCCGAUAGCUUGCUAAUGGUGGUGAGACUCGAUU
This 573-nucleotide ribosomal RNA is filed under the name Glomeromycotina sp. Its description in RNAcentral is "eukaryotic LSU rRNA". It matches the Rfam family "Eukaryotic large subunit ribosomal RNA", at positions 110 to 645 of the family's 3401-position model. Lineage: Eukaryota; Fungi; Glomeromycota. The record is from RNAcentral.